RNAcentral lists this long non-coding RNA (239 nucleotides) under Elaeis guineensis (African oil palm). RNAcentral describes it as "long non-coding RNA (EGUI_LNC001617)". Lineage: Eukaryota; Viridiplantae; Streptophyta; Magnoliopsida; Arecales; Arecaceae. The record is from RNAcentral.
AUGGGCAUACCGAACGACUCCUCGCAUAUCAAUGAGAGAAUCACCAUUUAAUCUAGCAUAUGGAAUAGAAGCGAUGAUCCCACUUGAAAUCGGAUUAUCAUCAGCAAGGAUAGAGCAAUACAUUGAACCGAGCAACUCAGAAUGUCGGAGAGCCGAUUUAGAUCUACUUUCAGAAGUCCGACAGCAAGCUCAAGUUUGGAUGGCAGCCUAUCGGCAAAGGGUAGUCUGAUAUUAUAAUG